Molecule: ribosomal RNA, 483 nt
Filed under: uncultured bacterium
Lineage: Bacteria
Description: partial 16S ribosomal RNA
Rfam family: Bacterial small subunit ribosomal RNA
Source: RNAcentral
GACGAACGCUGGCGGCGUGCUUAACACAUGCAAGUCGAACGCUGAAGCUCAGCUUUUGUUGGGUGGAUGAGUGGCGAACGGGUGAGUAACACGUGAGUAACCUGCCCCCUUCUUUGGGAUAACGCCCGGAAACGGGUGCUAAUACUGGAUAUUCACUGGUCUUCGCAUGGGGGUUGGUGGAAAGGGUUUUUCUGGUGGGGGAUGGGCUCGCGGCCUAUCAGCUUGUUGGUGGGGUGAUGGCCUACCAAGGCUUUGACGGGUAGCCGGCCUGAGAGGGUGACCGGUCACAUUGGGACUGAGAUACGGCCCAGACUACUACGGGAGGCAGCAGUGGGGAAUAUUGCACAAUGGGCGCAAGCCUGAUGCAGCGACGCCGCGUGAGGGAUGGAGGCCUUCGGGUUGUGAACCUCUUUCGCUAAUGGUCAAGCCGCAACAAUGGUUGUGGUGAGGGUAGUGGGUAAAGAAGCGCCGGCUAACUACGUG